AUCCGCUCCCUCUCGCGCGCCGCUCGGCUCCUUCACAGGGUGACACGUCUGCGGUGAGUGAGUGGCGUUGGCAGCCUGUCAAUCCCUCACCGGAGCGGCCAUCAAACAACAUAAAACACGCGCGGGCACCGGGCGCGGGGCUCAUAAAUUCCGGCGGGCCGAUAUUUUUGCACAUUGCUUUGCAGAGAGUGUAUUUUUGGACAAGUGGGGAAAGACAUAAAAAGCGACAAUAAAAAUAAAAAGGG
This is a long non-coding RNA of Manacus vitellinus (golden-collared manakin), 245 nucleotides long. RefSeq lists it as uncharacterized. The record is from RefSeq and is a predicted model, not a curated record. NCBI's taxonomy places the organism in Eukaryota, Metazoa, Chordata, Aves, Passeriformes, Pipridae. The transcript has 2 exons.